UUUCUCUCUCUCAAUAGCAAUGUCCUUCGUUGGCUACCGAUUAAAUUUCACUUUCUUUGUUGCCCAUUUUUCAAUUUGAAUUAAUCAAUUUCCAGUCAAAUGCAUAGGUAACAAUCACUAAGUCAUUAUAGAUUUGAAGCAAAGGAUCCACGGUUUUGUUUUUCUACCAUGUAAGCUUGAGGAAAGUGGGUUUUGUUAUCAUGGUUGGAGGCCCAACUAAAGAUACUAGAUUUUGGCCUCUUUCAUACAUGAUAAUAACGAAGAGAGAAGAAAAGAUGUUCGAAGAUUGAAGAACAGAAAACCCUUACAGAAAAGAAAACGAUCGACAAAAAGAAGAAAUGUGCAGAAAUUAGUCAAGAUACAUAAAAGCAGUAAAAUUGUAAUAUAUAUUAAAAAAAGAAUUUAAAUACAUUGCUAUAUUUGCAAAACAAAAAA
Non-coding RNA from Benincasa hispida (wax gourd), 435 nucleotides. NCBI's taxonomy places the organism in Eukaryota, Viridiplantae, Streptophyta, Magnoliopsida, Cucurbitales, Cucurbitaceae. The record is from RefSeq and is a predicted model, not a curated record.